GAUGAAGAACGUAGCGAAAUGCGAUACGUAAUGUGAAUUGCAGAAUUCAGUGAAUCAUCGAGUCUUUGAACGCACAUUGGGCCCCCUGGUAUUCCGGGGGGCAUGCCUGUCCGAGCGUCAUUGCUGCCCUCAAGCACGGCUUGUGUGUUGGGCCUCCGUCCUCCUCCCGGGGGACGGGCCCGAAAGGCAGCGGCGGCACCGCGUCCGGUCCUCGAGCGUAUGGGGCUUCGUCACCCGCUCUUGUAGGCCCGGCCGGCGCUUGCCGACACAUCAAUCUUUUUUCCAGGUUGACCUCGGAUCAGGUAGGGAUACCCGCUGAACUUAAGAAUAUCAAUAAGCGGAGGA
Molecule: unclassified non-coding RNA, 345 nt
Filed under: soil metagenome
Description: partial contains 5.8S ribosomal RNA, internal transcribed spacer 2, and large subunit ribosomal RNA
Rfam family: 5.8S ribosomal RNA (bases 1-120)
Source: RNAcentral